Long non-coding RNA from Lynx canadensis (Canada lynx), 1755 nucleotides. Lineage: Eukaryota; Metazoa; Chordata; Mammalia; Carnivora; Felidae. The record is from Ensembl.
CUCGGCUUGUUCCUGGAGACGCAAGUGUGACCGGGACAGUAGGGCCAUAUGCUUGAUGGCUGUGCCUUGUGGCUUGAAGUGCUUUCGGUCCGCUGGUGGGGUCAUUGGAAACGUUUGCUGUUAGCAGAGCAGCAUUUCCAUUAUGAACAGUUGCCAAAGCGACUUCAGAAAUGCCAGAACACGCGCUGGAGUCUAAACUUGGCUAUCUUAGAAACUCAAGUCACUUCUGGUCUUCGUAGCUCGUCUCUUCAGGUGGGAAGUCUCCACCUCAUGAGCCAUGUAUGGGCUGAGAGACAUCCAGGUCCCAGCACAUCCAUUGUCUGCAAUCAAGCUAGAGCCACCACUCCACAAAAGAGAGCCCCAAUGUCGUGGCUGUGCCCUUCUGUAACUUAGCUUCUUUGCCAGGUUUCUGAGAGGAUAAAUGCUGAAACCUGCCUCUCCCAGGAAGAUACCUGAGCCAUCCAGCAGGGUUCCUGGGGAGAGAGGAGCCCUGUGGUCUCGGCUACCUGCAUCUGGAGUGGAAUUGCCAUCUCAGUGGAAGGAAACAAGGGAGAGAGGAAUGGGUCAUGGUUCAAAUGCCAUAGACUCUUGCUGUUCUGACCGAGUUUUAGUAGGUUUUUUCGAAUAAAUGUCCCUUCGUUCAGUGUUUCACCUUAGGACUAUUUCCAGAGAAUUUAAAUGGCAUCUUUUUAUGGUUUUUCACCAGUUCCACUGUGGGAUGGGUCUGUGGAGCUCCUCACGUAUCCAUGCCCAAAGUAGACCUUCUGUUCACGCCCCUUUAAGUCUUCACCUUUUACUAAGUCUCUAUUGAUAGAUCACAGAUUAUUUUAGACCACCAUCAUGGACUUCAUUGUACCUCCAUGCCCAAAUUCAUAUGUUGAAUUCCUAACCCCUAGUACUCCACAACGUGACUGUAUUUGGAGACAGGGCCUCUGAAGAGGUAAUUAAAUUAAAAUAAGAUGAUAUGCUUGGGACCUAAUACAGUAUGAUUUUUGUCUUUAUAAGAAGAAGAAACACCAAGAAUGCACACACAUAUAGGAAAGGCGAUGUGAGGACAUAGCAAGAAGUCAGCCACCCACAAGCCAAAGAGAGAGGCUUCGUAGGAAACCAAACCCGCUGCCACCUUGAUUUUGGACUUUCAGCCUCCAAAACUGUAAGGAAGUACAUUUCUGUUGGUUAGGCCACCCACUUUGUGGAAUUUUGUUAGCAAGCGAAUACAAGGACUGUGAUAAUUUAGCCUUUUUACAUUAAUAUUGUCUUCCAUAAUUGGUGUGUCAACGUCUUCUCAUUUCCUCCUAUUUCCACCAAAACCAAACUCAACAAAACCAAACCAAAUGAAAUAAGACAAAUCCUGGCAGUCUUCCCCAGCAUGCAGUGGAAGUGGUGAGGAGCAUUUGUGCUUUCAGAUGUUUUCUGCGUCUUUUUGGGCUGACUCCUCAAAGAACCAAACCCAUUGGACCUCUAUUCUGCACAUUUGGUGGUAUUGUUAAGAUUUUUGAGGUUUGUUAACUCACUCUCUUCCCCCAUACACACACCAUUUCUGUGGGUUGGAAAAGAAGAAGAAUGUUAACUACUCAAAAAUCCUUAGUAUCGUUUGACUUCCUCCCUUUUCUUUCUUUCUCUUUCUUUCUUUCUUUUCUUUCUUUGUUUCUUUUUCUUUUUCUUUUCUUUCUUUCUCUUUCCUCUUUUCUUUUUCUUUCUUUCUUUCUUUCUUUCCUCUUUCUUUUCUUUCUUUCUGUCUGGUGCUUUCCUCUU